ACCACUUUGUGCUGUCUACCAGAAUCCAAGGAGCUGAACCUCUUUCCAGAAUCCUCCAUGGAUAAGGAUCCACCUCAUUCUAGACUUGACAGAUUCAGUGCGAUGGUGGGCCAGGGGCUGGGUGGGUCAGACAGUACAGUAGAAACUGAAGAUCCACCAGGAGAACCAGGCCAAAUUACAUGCCAUGUCUAAGGGCGAGAUCCUAGAGGAGCAGAAAAGGCUGCUGGGUCAGCUAGAUCCCAGACUUGUUGACUUUGUAAGGGACUCGUAAAGUACUGGGAGCCCCAACCUCUACCUCACAGCCUUCCAACUUCCUGGAUGAAAGAGGCAGGGAACAGCGUCUGCUAGAAACCAUCAUGACAGAGACAGACGCCAAGAAGCCAGAGCAGAAUCCUCUGGACAUAAAGAUUGGAGAAAGUGGAAGAUGAGGAAGAUGAAAGCGGAGGACCUGCCUGUCAAGCCUCAGAAGGAGUAGGUGCACAUGGACAAGCUGGAGCCAGAGAAGUUGGAGUGGAUCAGGGACCUGCCUGUACCCAGACGGAAAGGAACCAAGAUGGCCAUGCAGGCUCACUUUGACUUUGCUGGAACCCUGAUCCCACCCCAGAGGAACUGCCCACCCACCUUGGUUUGCAGCACAUUGGAGAGGAGCCUGAGGAGCUCUUCCUCUGUCGCAGUCAGGUGAUCCAGCAGUGGAGUCCUCAACACUCUGGCCCACAUUCUCACGAAGGUAGUCAGGCAGAGGGCUGGCCAGUUUGCGGCUACUCUCAGGGGCAGUGUGGUGUCAACUCUUCUGGCCUUCUCUUCAUGCUGCACUUCUCACUGGACGAUAAUGUGGAGGGAGUGAUGUCUGCAGCUGUGCAGGGGCUCAGAGCCCUCCUGGUGUCCUCAGACGAUGAUCACACUCAUGAUUCCAUGGGCUGGCCCCCUUUCCUCUGUUCAGGAAGAGGAGGAAGACGAGGGGCUCUGAGGUCAUGAGAGAGACUGCUUCAGAGAAGGAAGAAAAAAAGACUGAUGAUGACUUUUCCAGGGAUGAUGUCAUUAAGGGUUUACUGAGGAUGAAGCUGCUUCCUAGGCUCCCUACAUCCUAGAGGGGAUCCGCCCGUCACCCAGGGUGGUCCAGGAUGUCCUCGGAGUCCUGAUCCGCAUUGUCAGACACUCCUCCUCAGCAGCCACUCAGGUCUUGGACUGCCCUCGUUUGAAGGAGACUGUGUUGUCAGAGUUCCUGCCCUGCUCCUGGGCAGUGCCCACCUCCCCGACCCCCAGUCUGUAUGCGUGGCCAACGCCAUGAAGCUCCGACAAGUCCUGUACACCACUGGCAGACACGCCUGUGCCAGGCUGGUGAACUCUCUGGGUGUGCGGGAGCGUCUAUCUCGUCUGCUGGCCCCGGAGCCCAGUGAUCUGCAGCUGGAGCCAGGGGAGGCCCUGAGGGUCAGCUCUGCGUCCUACCGGCUGUGGGCUGUGGCAGCCAGCUACGACAGGCCUGCAACCUCUACAAGAGAGUAACUGGUCGUAACUGGGUUGACUGACAACGUCACGAAUAUGAUGCGUGUGCAUCGAUGUGGCCGGAAGGUGUGCGUUGAUGUCAUAUAUAUGCUAAUAUGGCUACAUUUCGCUAGCUAGCUAAUCAGAAACUGUAACAAUGUAUUUCAGAGACAAGUGCUCAUUGUCUAAAUGUAUUUGUUUUCAAUAAACAUUUGGAGACUAAAUAUAGUUGACAUGUUGUCAACAGUCUCAGCCAACCCUGUCUGCUUUGCC
This 1755-nucleotide long non-coding RNA is filed under the name Salmo salar (Atlantic salmon). RNAcentral describes it as "lncRNA (ENSSSAG00000056427.2)". Lineage: Eukaryota; Metazoa; Chordata; Actinopteri; Salmoniformes; Salmonidae. The record is from RNAcentral.